AUCAAAACAAAAGAGCUCUAGCAACCUCUAAGAUAUGCCUGUUCUUCCUUUCAUCCACCAACCAUUCCUCAACUAAAUAAGCACAGGUGAUGGUUGAUGCCAUUAUCAGAUAAGAAAGGGUUACGUUGCUACCAUCAAAACAUUCUUAUAAAAUUGUGUGCGACCGCCUUCAACACAUGACUUCAUUCUUUUUUAACAUUUCACGUAUAAAUCCAUGUAGCUCUAGACAUCUACAAAAGUGACAAAAUAGCGAUGGCCAGAAUAAGAAGUAGUGGAUGCAGGUCCCCAGACAUCGGAGUGAACAAGAUUUUCAUAAUCCCAAGAAUUGUGCCUUUUUUUUAGGAAGAUUACCAAUGAUUUGCCAAUUGGCAUGUAGAGCAAGUCUUCUUAUUAUCUAAAAAAAAACGGAAUUGAGGGUGCUCAAGGUAUACUUCCAUGGCGAGUCAUCUAAGACAGGAUCAUGAAGGUGGCCCAACCUUUUAUGCCAACCCCCCCAAGCUUUAUUCGCUGAACCUUGAACUGCUAACCACAUUAGCUACCAACAAAGAUAAUGCUUAUGAAGAAGCCACGUCCAUAACAUAAAGUAGAGUCCCUCUCUCUCUUUACCUCGUCCAAUCAUCUUCCCGGUCUUGAAUGACACAAUGAGAAGGAAAGAGAGUCACAGAACCGUUCAAGGUUUUUGCAAAAAGACUAAGACUAAUGGAUGGAAAGGGUCCAAUUUAGGAAUAUAAAGAACUUUGGACAAAGAAAAGGAAGGAGGUAGACUUGCUUUUUGAAUAGGUAAAGCAAGAAGUCAGCAAGAAGGACACGAGGCGGUAUAAUCUAAGAGGUAAACAUAUAAGAGUUACCCGUCAUAUGGUUAGGUGCUCAAGAAUCC
This 877-nucleotide long non-coding RNA is filed under the name Amborella trichopoda. RNAcentral's name for it is "long non-coding RNA (ATRI_LNC000109)". The record is from RNAcentral. Lineage: Eukaryota; Viridiplantae; Streptophyta; Magnoliopsida; Amborellales; Amborellaceae.